CCUGGCUCCUCCCUGCCUCUUGAUGUAGUACAUCGCUGCAGUAUUAUCUGUCAGGAUCUGCACCACCUUGCCUUUCAAGCGAGGCCCAGGUCGCAGCAGGUGGAGUGCACCAAGUCGAGACUUCUCUGCACCUGCUCCGGAGACCUGCCCUUGAUGAGCCAGUCGUCGAGGUACAGGAACAGAUGGACCCCUCACCCCCACAUCUGAGGUCCAGGGUGAGACUGCCAUGACCUCAACGGAGGGGGCGGACGGAAUGGUUUAAGCACCGACUGCGGUGUAUGGAUACCCAGCAAACAGAAGGUAGCCUGGGUGUCCUCCGUCCCGUGCAGGCUCACAUCAGUCUGCUCAGAAAACAGACCACUUCCGUCAAAGGAAGGUUUUGUAUAGAGGUCUGCAUCUCCUGGGAGAGACCUGCGAUCAGAAAACAGACCACUUCCGUCAAAGGAAGGUUUUGUAUAUAGGUCUGCAUCUCCUGGGAGAGACCUGCGAUCUGAAGCCAGGAGCUGCGCCUCAACCACUGAGGACGCCACCACCCUGGCUGCCGAGUCCACCGUGUCCCAGGCACAGCAGGCUGCCGAAGUGCC
Molecule: long non-coding RNA, 584 nt
Organism: Malaclemys terrapin pileata
Lineage: Eukaryota; Metazoa; Chordata; Testudines; Emydidae
Exons: 3
Source: RefSeq, a predicted model, not a curated record